AAAUUGAAGAGUUUGAUCAUGGCUCAGAUUGAACGCUGGCGGCAGGCCUAACACAUGCAAGUCGAACGGUAACAGGAAGCAGCUUGCUGCUUCGCUGACGAGUGGCGGACGGGUGAGUAAUGUCUGGGAAACUGCCUGAUGGAGGGGGAUAACUACUGGAAACGGUGGCUAAUACCGCAUAACGUCGCAAGACCAAAGAGGGGGACCUUCGGGCCUCUUGCCAUCAGAUGUGCCCAGAUGGGAUUAGCUUGUUGGUGAGGUAACGGCUCACCAAGGCGACGAUCCCUAGCUGGUCUGAGAGGAUGACCAGCCACACUGGAACUGAGACACGGUCCAGACUCCUACGGGAGGCAGCAGUGGGGAAUAUUGCACAAUGGGCGCAAGCCUGAUGCAGCCAUGCCGCGUGUAUGAAGAAGGCCUUCGGGUUGUAAAGUACUUUCAGCGGGGAGGAAGGUGUUGCGGUUAAUAACCGCAGCAAUUGACGUUACCCGCAGAAGAAGCACCGGCUAACUCCGUGCCAGCAGCCGCGGUAAUACGGAG
RNAcentral lists this ribosomal RNA (540 nucleotides) under Salmonella enterica subsp. enterica serovar Infantis. Its description in RNAcentral is "partial 16S ribosomal RNA". It matches the Rfam family "Bacterial small subunit ribosomal RNA", at positions 1 to 530 of the family's 1533-position model. RNAcentral also lists the same sequence under 1 other name. Lineage: Bacteria; Pseudomonadati; Pseudomonadota; Gammaproteobacteria; Enterobacterales; Enterobacteriaceae. The record is from RNAcentral.